GACGAACGCUGGCGGCGUGCUUAACACGUGCAAGUCGAACGGAAAGGCCCUGCUUUUGUGGGGUGCUCGAGUGGCGAACGGGUGAGUAACACGUGAGUAACCUGCCCUUGACUUUGGGAUAACUUCAGGAAACUGGGGCUAAUACCGGAUAGGAGCUCCUGCUGCAUGGUGGGGGUUGGAAAGUUUCGGCGGUUGGGGAUGGACUCGCGGCUUAUCAGCUUGUUGGUGGGGUAGUGGCUUACCAAGGCUUUGACGGGUAGCCGGCCUGAGAGGGUGACCGGCCACAUUGGGACUGAGAUACGGCCCAGACGCCUACGGGAGGCAGCAGUGGGGAAUAUUGCACAAUGGGCGGAAGCCUGAUGCAGCAACGCAGCGUGCGGGAUGACGGCCUUCGGGUUGUAAACCGCUUUCGCCUGUGACGAAGAGUGAGUGACGGUAAUGGGUAAAGAAGCACCGGCUAACUACGUG
Molecule: ribosomal RNA, 468 nt
Filed under: uncultured bacterium
Lineage: Bacteria
Description: partial 16S ribosomal RNA
Rfam family: Bacterial small subunit ribosomal RNA
Source: RNAcentral